AGUGAACGCUGGCGGUAGGCCUAACACAUGCAAGUCGAACGGCAGCACAGUAAGAGCUUGCUCUUACGGGUGGCGAGUGGCGGACGGGUGAGGAAUACAUCGGAAUCUACUUUUUCGUGGGGGAUAACGUAGGGAAACUUACGCUAAUACCGCAUACGACCUACGGGUGAAAGCAGGGGAUCUUCGGACCUUGCGCGAUUGAAUGAGCCGAUGUCGGAUUUGCUAGUUGGCGGGGUAAAGGCCAACCAAGGCGACGAUCCGUAGCUGGUCUGAGAGGCUGAUCAGCCACACUGGAACUGAGACACGGUCCAGACUCCUACGGGAGGCAGCAGUGGGGAAUAUUGGACAAUGGGCGCAAGCCUGAUCCAGCCAUACCGCGUGGGUGAAGAAGGCCUUCGGGUUGUAAAGCCCUUUUGUUGGGAAAGAAAAGCAGCAGGUUAAUACCCCGCUGUUCUGACGGUACCCAAAGAAUAAGCACCGGCUAACUUCGUG
RNAcentral lists this ribosomal RNA (492 nucleotides) under uncultured bacterium. RNAcentral describes it as "partial 16S ribosomal RNA". It matches the Rfam family "Bacterial small subunit ribosomal RNA", at positions 29 to 507 of the family's 1533-position model. The record is from RNAcentral.